UGCAUUCUUGCUCAUUGCUCUUUGACUUAUAUUUGUCUGCAGCUGGUAUGUUAUCUAUUUAGUAUCCAGUCCCCAAAGCAAAAUGUUUUUAUUAGUCCUGCACUUCAUUUAUUUCCUAGUGUGCUUCUAUCUGUGGUUGUGUUGUUCUUAUUGUCACUAGUAUGCACUCACUAGCCUAUUCAGUUUAAGCUUAGCAUGCUCCCCUCACCUAUUCCCUGUCUCAAUGUAUGUUUACUUUCCUUGAGUAUUACCACCAUGUGUCCAUGGUUGCUUCGCUACUUGAUUAGUUUUAAAACAUCUUCAUGAGGUUAAGUAUUUGGGGUUUGGUGCAGUAAGAACUGAAACCCCUUAUUUGUUGCAACUGUGUUUGAUUACCUGCCUUCAUUAUGUUUGUCUGUGUGUGAGUAGGUCCCUGUACUUAUCUGUUCCCUCCUCCUUUUGUGUUUGAUUAUCUACCUUCAUUGUGUUUGCCUGUGUGUGAGUAGGUCCCUGUACUUGUCUGUUCCCCCUUCCUUUGCCCCUGUUUGUGUGAUGCUCUGUUUUAAACUUGUUAGUACCAAUGAUUUCAAAAGAAUUCCUUUCAACUUUCUCAACUCUCUUAAACUAAUUUCUCAAACUCUUUCUCAACUCUUUUCUCAAACUAACUCUCAACUGUUUUAAAAUCCUGUCACAACUUCACUACUCUUAGUCUCUUAGAUCCCUAGGUUCUGCCCCCUUGGUGCAAGCACUCCCAUGGGAACCUUGAGCACCAAAGGAACUCUGAUGCCCAAGGCUGGCUUCCAAAUGUUUGAAACUGUCCAAUUGGGACAUCUUUGGGUGCCUGGUAUUGGCCAGAGGUUCAAACAAACCCUUAGGGAACUUUGCUGCACCCAAGCCUUGGUGAUGGCCGUGAAACUCGAAAGGAAUAAGG
RNAcentral lists this long non-coding RNA (910 nucleotides) under Nicotiana benthamiana. Its description in RNAcentral is "long non-coding RNA (NBEN_LNC035275)". Lineage: Eukaryota; Viridiplantae; Streptophyta; Magnoliopsida; Solanales; Solanaceae. The record is from RNAcentral.